GGUUGUGUGGCCGAGCGGUCUAAGGCGCCUGAUUCAAGUGUAUGCUUACAGCUGUUCACAGCUGAACACUCAGGUAUCGUAAGAUGCAGGAGUUCGAAUCUCCUCGCAACCA
This is a transfer RNA of 112 nucleotides. It matches the Rfam family "tRNA". Rfam says of the family: Transfer RNA (tRNA) molecules are approximately 80 nucleotides in length. Their secondary structure includes four short double-helical elements and three loops (D, anti-codon, and T loops). Further hydrogen bonds mediate the characteristic L-shaped molecular structure. tRNAs have two regions of fundamental functional importance: the anti-codon, which is responsible for specific mRNA codon recognition, and the 3' end, to which the tRNAs corresponding amino acid is attached (by aminoacyl-tRNA synthetases). tRNAs cope with the degeneracy of the genetic code in two manners: having more than one tRNA (with a specific anti-codon) for a particular amino acid; and 'wobble' base-pairing, i.e. permitting non-standard base-pairing at the 3rd anti-codon position. The record is from Rfam.